Molecule: ribosomal RNA, 496 nt
Filed under: uncultured bacterium
Lineage: Bacteria
Description: partial 16S ribosomal RNA
Rfam family: Bacterial small subunit ribosomal RNA
Source: RNAcentral
AUUGAACGCUGGCGGAAUGCUUUACACAUGCAAGUCGAACGGUAGAGGGGGCAACCCCUCGAGAGUGGCGAACGGGUGAGUAAUAUAUCGGAACGUGCCCAGUCGUGGGGGAUAACGUAGCGAAAGCUACGCUAAUACCGCAUACGAUCUACGGAUGAAAGCGGGGGAUCGCAAGACCUCGCGCGAUUGGAGCGGCCGAUAUCAGAUUAGGUUUUUGGUGAGGUAAAAGCUCACCAAGCCUGCGAUCUGUAGCUGGUCUGAGAGGACGACCAGCCACACUGGAACUGAGACACGGUCCAGACUCCUACGGGAGGCAGCAGUGGGGAAUUUUGGACAAUGGACGCAAGUCUGAUCCAGCAAUGCCGCGUGCAGGACGAAGGCAUUCGGGUUGUAAACUGCUUUUGUACGGAACGAAACGGUGAGCUCUAAUACAGUUUGCUAAUGACGGUACCGUAAGAAUAAGCACCGGCUAACUACGUGCCAGCAGCCGCGGUAA